Molecule: RNA transcript, 5123 nt
Organism: Heterocephalus glaber (naked mole-rat)
Lineage: Eukaryota; Metazoa; Chordata; Mammalia; Rodentia; Bathyergidae
Gene: Dnajc5
Gene name: DnaJ heat shock protein family (Hsp40) member C5
Source: RefSeq, a predicted model, not a curated record
GUGAGCGUGCGCUUCUCUGCUGCCGCCGCCGCCGCCGCUGCUGGUCCCGCGCCCUGUGGUGCUGCCCCCGCCUACCGGAAUACCCAGCCUGAGGAGCGCGUCGGCUGGCCGCCAGCAGCGCCGCGGGAAGGGAGCGGAGCCGCGGAGCCGGCGGCAGGCGGCAGGCGGACAGAUUAACCUACUAUGGCAGACCAGAGGCAGCGCUCACUUUCUACCUCCGGAGAAUCGCUAUACCAUGUUCUCGGGCUGGACAAGAAUGCAACUUCAGAUGACAUUAAAAAAUCCUAUCGGAAGCUUGCCCUGAAGUAUCACCCAGACAAGAACCCUGAUAACCCAGAGGCUGCAGACAAGUUUAAGGAGAUCAACAACGCCCACGCCAUCCUGACGGAUGCCACAAAAAGGAACAUCUAUGACAAGUACGGCUCUCUGGGGCUCUAUGUGGCCGAGCAGUUCGGGGAAGAGAACGUCAACACCUACUUCGUGCUCUCCAGCUGGUGGGCCAAGGCCCUGUUUGUCUUCUGCGGCCUCCUCACCUGCUGCUACUGCUGCUGUUGCCUGUGCUGCUGCUUCAACUGCUGCUGCGGGAAGUGUAAGCCGAAGGCUCCUGAGGGUGAAGAGACCGAGUUCUACGUGUCCCCUGAGGACCUGGAGGCACAGCUGCAGUCUGAUGAGAGGGGAGGGCACUGACACUGUGCCGCGAGUGUUUGUGGUGGCAGCUGGGACUGUUGAGGUGUGAACGUGGACACUUGAGAGGCCACAGAUACACCAAUCGUCAUACAGCCAGCGUCCGCCACAGAGACCACCCAGCUCACGGCUGACUCCCACCCCAGUUACCACACUGACGGGUUCAACUAAGUUCAGGAAAAGCUGUGAUUAGAGGGUGAAUCAGCACCCAGCCACUGCAACCUUAGAAUCAUGAACUGUAGUCACCAAGAUGGGGAGGCAGCGGCUGACCUGCCUGGCUGCGUCGGCCCCCUUCCACCUCCUCUACGCCCACCCAUCCGUCGAUCCUCGAUACACGAAGUGCGUAGCAUGCAGUAUUUAAAGCAGUGUAGCUACGGUCUUCUCUGUUUUUCCUUUUUUAAUAGCAUGUAUGGGUUAUGUUCAGUGUCUGUGUUGUGGACGUGCCUCAGCCUAGCUGCAUUAACUGGACGGUGGAGCUGCCUCGGGGCUUUCAGUUGGGUUGGUCCAGGAAGGGCUGACCAUAGCUGCCAGGUUCCACCUAGCCGGUUGGGCUAGAAACGGAGGGGCCUCCCCUUGCUUUCUGGUGCCCACCAGGGCUGGAGGCAGCGCUGCCUGGUGGAGCUGCAUCUCCAUCUUGGCCUUGGUGUCUGUCCUGAGGUGGGUCUGGUCCACACUGCGCUCCCUGGCCUGAGGCUGCAGGCGGGACACUGAUCUCACUGGCUGGGAAAGUGAGGGCCACAUCCUCCCGGCUCUGCCAGCAUCACAGCCACUGUCGCAGUGCUUGUGUGGGUACAGUGUGCACCUUCUGCACUUGGCCUCAUAGCAGGGUUCUCCUGAGGGCAGACAUGCUGAGGAGAGUGCAGGCACACCCUUUCCGAGGAUGCACUCGCACACUCUGCACAGCGAAGGAUCCUUCGCCUGGGUCUCUGCCACGUGCACUGAGGUUCCUGGCCUCAGAGCUGUCAGCUGCCUGUGUAGGGAGGUCAUUUGUCCCUGCUCUUGUCCCUUUCCCAGGCUGACCGCUGGAUUGAUGGGGCCACAGUCUCUCCUCCCCUUCUGUAGGUCUGACUCCACAUUCCUUCAAACCCACCUAUUUUUUAAACCUUUCUGAACUUCUGAAAACCACAAGUGAUAGGAUCUCCUUAUUCAUAAUGCGAGGGUCUGAGUCUCUGGCCGAUGGCACAUGGCUGCUUGCGCCCAGGAAGUGUUGUGGAAGUGCCCAGCCCCGGGGACCCUUGUCCCUUUGCUGCCAGAGCCUGGUGCACCCCCUUGGCUUCAUCUGUGCCUGUCAUCCGUGAUCCAAGAGCAAGAGUACUGGGUUCCUGGAGGAAGGCUUCUGGAGCCAAGGUACCUCAGAAGGGUCGGGUCCCAGGGAGGUUGCACUGAUGCCUCAGCUCAUCAGCCAGCCUGGAAGUUUAGAGCUGGACCACAAACCCCUGUGUAAACCACUAGCACUCAGUCUCUCGCAUCUGUGCCCAGGCCUUGUAGGUGGUGCCCUGGGUGGGGACCUGAGGAGAUGUAGACUGUGUGCCCCUACUGACCAAGGUUUGAAGCUGUCCCACCCUCAGCAGCUCCCUGCGCGUGCUGGACCAGACUCCAGUGAGCUGGGUUCCUGCAAACCUUCCAGUGCCAAGCAUCGUCUCAGUUUCCAGUAGAGGUGAAGGAGGAGAAGGCUCAUGUGGAGACUCUCUGGCCCAGACGACUUGCUACACGACGUGUGCUCCCAAAGUGUGCUUUGCCCCACCUGCUGAUUUUUGGCCCCAGCUCACCAGCAUGUCCAGGAGUAGGGUUAGGGUGAUAGGAAGUUGCAAGAAAGGGCAGCAAGCUGAGGACAAACCUAACAUGUUUCGGAAUACCUCACUGGUUAGAGCAGUGAUGCUACAGCCCCAGCUCCUCCUACUGCUUGCUGCUCCACAUGGGCCAGGAGCCAGUUGGUGCCAGCACCAGGUGCUUGGGUGGGUUCGUCUGUUUGGCUCAUUCAAAUGAUCAUGAAGACAUUAGGGAGGCAUUCAUCUAGGAUUUGUUAGACAUAGUUUGUUAACAUGGGACUUCUUGUGGAAGGAUAAGAAAUGCACUAUUGGGCCCAUCUGGAAACAGGAGGUGAGACCACUGGGUAUCAUGUGUGCCAGUCCCAGUAUGACAGUAAUGAGGGACUCUGCAGAAAGGCCACCUGGUUCAACCUCUAUGACUUCCUAGAGACCCUUAAAAGUGAGUUGUUUUUCCCCAGAGUGGCCAGGAGCCAGGUUCAGAGUGUGGACAUGGUAGAGUGUGGAGGCCUGCCUGGGGCGUGUAGUCUGCAGCUCUGUGGCUCUUUCCCCCGUCCAGUGACCCUAGCCAGAUCUCUUCAGCUGAGAACCCUGGACAGUGGCUGGGGAAGGAGAGCAGCACUUGAACCCAGUGUCCAGUGGAGUUUGUAAAGCUAAGGAAAUCAUGUAGAAUGUGCAAAGAUGAAUAAGAUGGUUGUCAAGGUGAUGACAGGGCUCACCCAAGGCCCAGCUGGGGAUAACUGUGAAUGUCAGGGUCGGGAGCCCUUCCCGCUGCCUGACCUUGUAGCAAACCCCGCUUCAGUGUUUUACUGUGUUGGUCUCAGGCCUGCCUGGUUUGGGCCCUUUUAACAAGUAGACCUGGUGAGUCUGAGGGAGUCAGGUUGCACCACUUCCUGUCCAAAUGCUAGCAAAUCAGAACAACUCCCAGUUCUCCAGGCUCCUGUGCUGGUGGCCAUAGCAGCAGUCUGCUUCACCAGGGCGUAUUGCCUGGAGCGUGCUGAGGCCAGUGUGCAUGGAAGCCUGUCGGAGCCUGGGUGCCCCUCAGGGUCCAGGCAGCGUGGUCAGGGAUGGGAGGAACUUGUGAGGCCAUCUCACGGGAGCUGCUGUUGCUGCUGCUCUGUAGAUUUCUGUUUCCGUUCAGUGAUGUGGUCUUUUCUUGUCUUCCUUUAGGCUUUAUUCUAUUUUUAAACUGCUUUAGAUAUUACUGCUCACUGUUCACGAGCCUUCCUAGUUGUCUGAUCAGUUGGUAUAGCCAACACCCAAUGGGGACCUGUUAGAAAAAGAAAGUGGAGCAUUCAGUGUAGUGAACAGGAAACUUCAUCUCGGUGUUGUUGGUUGUUGGACCUGACCAUAAGCGCCAGUCCAGGAAAGGCGCUGGAUCAGGAAAGGUCAGGACUCUUCAGAUAUGUGACCCGUGUUCCCCUGGCAGCAGUGCCCAUUGUCCUCCUGAGCCCACAGCAGUCUGUUCCAGGGGAGCCUCGUGCUGGAGCAGCCUCCACAGGUGUAGCUGGGGGUCUCGGGAGAUGGUGGCCCCGGCAUGCAGGCUGUCGCUGGAGGGUCCAGGUGCUGCGGGCAGAGCAGGGUGGAUCCUUGCCACCCUCUGCGGAGCCUCAGCACACUCUGCUGUGGGGGAGUGGCUUGUGAGGGGUGUACCCACUGGCUGAUCUCAUUCCUUUCCCAGUAUUCUGAGCUGUAAACCCCUGCGGCCCAGGCCUGACUUGUUUCUGUUAUGUUUUGGUUACAAACCAUCCUCCUGUGGAAUUGGCAAAAGCUACAUCUUUACUGUACAAGCACGGUUUGAGUGUGGGCUGUGGUGUGUGUCUGUGUGUACAUAUGUGUAUAUGUAUAUAUUGUGCAGCAGGCCUGUCAUGCUGCUGUCCAGUGGCUAAGCGACAAGUACAAUAAAGUUGGCUCUCAAGCAGCUGUGGUUUCUUUGCAAGUUGGGCAGGGUAGGGUCUCCGUACGGCCUCCAGUGGAUGCACAGUAGGAAACUCAGCCCCUGCGUGCAGAAAGCACUGGUGCCGGGAAGCACUGCGGAGGCCCUGCCAGCAUUGGGCUUUAGCAGGGUUGGGCAUGAGGUAGCUGUCACAAACGUCCAUUCCUGGGGCUCUGUCAUGCUCGUCUCAUCCACAGGUAUGAGAAAGCUAGGAAGGGGAUGACUGGAAACCCUCCUUCCUUAAAACAUCGAAACCACUUUUCUGAGCACUAGGUACAGUCAGUGGAAAGCUCGCCUGUGAAGGCAGCCUGGGCAGGGACUCCAUACUGGCCAGUCCUCGGAAGGACACAGGGAAUUUGCACACCCUCCAGGAAGGGGCUAGGCCAAGUGCCCUGCAGGCAGUGUCUGGGAGAUUUGAUUUCCUGAAAAGGGGGCAGUGUUCCAUACUGGAUGGGGUGGGGUAAUUUACACUGAAGCAUAUAUAUGCUAUUUUUUAAAAUUCGAUGCAAGUACAUGGAAGGCAGUUGUCCAUGCACUGGUUUUACCCCAUUCGCAGGGCCCAGUCACCCUUGGGUACAGCCUGCUGUCGGAGCCCUGCCUGACUGACUCCUUCCUACCUGCACUCCAAGGGCCAGGCUGCAGGGCUCAGGUGGCUUCACAUGGUGAUCACCAUCUUGUUUGUCUGAAUGUUGACCUAAAAUAAAGAUAACUGUUGUAAAAUAAAUGUUUUCACUGCA